This 440-nucleotide ribosomal RNA is filed under the name uncultured bacterium. RNAcentral describes it as "partial 16S ribosomal RNA". It matches the Rfam family "Bacterial small subunit ribosomal RNA", at positions 338 to 795 of the family's 1533-position model. The record is from RNAcentral.
CCUACGGGUGGCUGCAGUGGGGAAUAUUGCACAAUGGGGGAAACCCUGACGCAGCGACGCCGCGUGAGUGAAGAAGGAUUUCGGUAUGUAAAGCUCUGUUAGCAGGGAAGAAAAUGACGGUACCUGACCAAGAAGCCCCGGCUAACUACGUGCCAGCAGCCGCGGUAAUACGUAGGGGGCAAGCGUUAUCCGGAUUUACUGGGUGUAAAGGGAGCGUAGACGGGAGGGCAAGUCUGAUGUGAAAGGCGUGGGCUCAACCCACGGCCUGCACUGGAAACUGGCAGUCUGGAGUGCAGGAGAGGUAGGUGGAAUUCCGAGUGUAGCGGUGAAAUGCGUAGAUAUUAGGAGGAACACCAGUGGCGAAGGCGGCUUACUGGACAAUAACUGACGUUGAGGCGCGAAAGCGUGGGGAGCAAACAGGAUUAGAUACCCUGGUAGUC